UGAGGAAUAUUGGUCAAUGGGCGCAAGCCUGAACCAGCCAUCCCGCGUGCAGGAAGACGGCGCUAUGCGUUGUAAACUGCUUUUCCAGGGAGAGAAACUUGCGCACGUGUUGCGCAAUUGACGGUACCCUGGAAUAAGCAUCGGCUAACUCCGUGCCAGCAGCCGCGGUAAUACGGAGGAUGCGAGCGUUAUCCGGAUUCAUUGGGUUUAAAGGGUGCGUAGGCGGACUAUUAAGUCAGUGGUGAAAUCCUGCAGCUUAACUGCAGAACUGCCAUUGAUACUGAUAGCCUUGAGUUUGGUUAAGGUAGGCGGAAUGUGUAAUGUAGCGGUGAAAUGCUUAGAUAUUACACAGAACACCAAUUGCGUAGGCAGCUUACUGAGCCGACACUGACGCUGAGGCACGAAAGCGUAAGGAUCGAACAG
RNAcentral lists this ribosomal RNA (423 nucleotides) under uncultured bacterium. RNAcentral describes it as "bacterial SSU rRNA". It matches the Rfam family "Bacterial small subunit ribosomal RNA", at positions 355 to 775 of the family's 1533-position model. The record is from RNAcentral.